GUGGAUUAGAUACCCUGGUAGUCCACGCUGUAAACGUUGUAUACUAGGUGUUAGCGGCUAGUCUGCUAGUGCCGAAGCAAACGCAUUAAGUAUACCGCCUGGGGAGUACGCCCGCAAGGGUGAAACUCAGAGAAAUUGACGGGGGCCCGCACAAGCGGUGGAGCAUGUGGUUUAAUUCGAUGAUACGCGAAAAACCUUACCUGGGCUUGAACUGUGCAUGACCGGCGUAGAGAUACGCUUUUCCUUCGGGACAUGCAUAGAGGUGCUGCAUGGCUGUCGCCAAUU
This 285-nucleotide ribosomal RNA is filed under the name uncultured bacterium. RNAcentral describes it as "partial 16S ribosomal RNA". It matches the Rfam family "Bacterial small subunit ribosomal RNA", at positions 773 to 1060 of the family's 1533-position model. The record is from RNAcentral.